GUAUGGGGGGCCCUUAAAUUGGAUCCAAGGUGUCUUGACUCUGAUGUAGUUUAAGUUGACAUCAACUGUCGUUAAAUAAAUGGUGUAGCAUUUUUUAAAAGUUUUAUAAUUCUAUAUAAAUUUUUUAUGCAUCUUAAUAAUAGAGCUGUGAUAUUUUUAUUACUGUUCAUAUUCGUUUCAUACGUAAUAAUUAUAUUUUUAUUAUUAAAUUUUACAAGUAAUUCACGUAAAAUUACACUUUAUUAAAAAAAAUAUUACAACGUUUAAAACAGACCAUUGUUACCGACAAUCGUUUGUUUGUGCUCUUUGUUCUUGAUACGAUACGAGUGACGAGUUGAAGUCUGCUCUCCACUCCGCUCCGGUGGAAGGAAUUAAAAAAAAGAAAACAGUAGUAGGAGAGGCAAGGCGAAAUGGAGACAUGAGAUCAGAGGCGUGGACGUGCAUUGACUUUGUAAACCGAGAAGCGUGGAUAGUUUGGUUUUUUUUUUUUUUUUAAAAAUUUGGUUAUUUGGAAAUCAUUGGAAUACGCUCAACUACUCUACCAUUUCUUCCGUGCUAUUUUGAUAGUCUUUUUUUUUUUCACCUGUUCCAAAUUAUAGUUCAUUUUUCAAUUGAAAAAUGUAGUUAUCUUUUAAUUUCUCUAAAAUAACCUUAUUCAAUAUAGGUUGUUAUUACUAUAAAUUAUCUUAUUUAAUAUAUAUUAUUAUUGAAUAUAAACUACCCUAUUUAAUGUAAAAUGAGAAUUGAUUUUUUCUUGACCAUCAAUUCAAAUUUUCAUAAACCAUCAAUUCAAGUUUUCAUAAAUAAUUAAUAUAAAAUUAUACUUUAUUUAAUGUAAGGGUAUUUUAGAAAAAUAGCAAUAUAAAUUUAUUAUUCUAAUAAAGUUAACGACUUUUUCUUCAAUUAUGUGAAAAAAAUUAAAACUAUCACAAUGGGACAUAGGGAGUAUUAUUUGUGUUUUUAUAUCUAAAAUAAAGUUAUACGCUGGUACUAUGGAAAAUUAUUUGCAGAAUUAUUUUUAUUUGAUACUUGUUGGAAAAGCUAGGAAUGAGAAAUGUUGGAUGAAUAAUGCGUAUGAUAGCGUGUAAGGUUUACAAGCAACAAGUGUCCGUUGUCGUUUUCUUUUGCAAUCAUUUUCUUUUUCACAAUUGCUAUUAAAGAUGCACAAGAUUGCAACCAUAACCAUCUUCCUAGAGAGAGAGAGAGAGAGAGAGAGAGAGAGUUGGCAUCCAGUUUGCCAUCAAUGGCUUUAUUUGGCAAAUGAGUUUUGUUUAUGCUUAAUUAAAAUUUUAUUGUAGUUUACUGUAAAGUUAUAGAAAAAAUUUUUGAAAUGUGUAAAUUUUUAGAAUUUUUUUGAGAUUAUUGUAGUAAAAGUUAUUAAAAAAUUUAGGAUUAAUCUUUCCUAUACUGACAGUGUACAUACUGUCAGCGUUGGAUGAAUGAUAACUGUACAAAAUUUGAAUUUGAAAUUCAACUUUUGCACACAUAUCAUGAAUCAAAUGUUGAUAGUUUAUACACUGUCAAUAUAUAUAAAACUUACUCAAAAACUUUUAAUAGACAAAUUUGACAAAAAUGUUGUGUUUGGAUUGCAUUUUCCGUCAUUUUUCAUGGAAAAAUUACUGUAGCGAUUUGAUAUAUAUAAGGAAAAAAGGUGAUAUGGAAAUGUGAUCACAGAAAACGACAAUAUUUUCCGACGAAAACAAGCAAUCCAAGCAUGGCUACUUGCCAAACAUGAUAUAUUUUCCCAUUCUUUUUGGUGUCACUUUCUGCUGCAAGCUGGGCUUUUAUUUGUUAUAGAGAAAGACAAGCAGUAAUAAUCGAGAGUGCUUUGGACUGGAGAUUAUUUCAAAUAAUUUUUUAAAAAAAUAUAUUAUCAUUUUUUUAAUAUAAUAUAUAUGUAAUGAAAAGAUAAUUAAAAAUAUGAAAGAGUAGUUGAUUAAUAUGUAUUUAUGAUGUAAUCAAAUAAUUUUUUACGAAUAGAAUAGUGGGUUUUCCAAAUAAUUGCUCAUGAUUGGCCCCUGGAAGAUAAGCAGCCGGCCGCACGCCCUUCCACCCCAAUUAUAUGCUAAUCGCGCCCCUUACCCAAGAGUUGGCGGUCACAAAUUGGAUUUAAGAAACAUUUGCAAAAUUUUUGGUACUUUGGUUCUUCAAUCAUAACUCUCAAAAUGCCAAAAACAUGCCACCUUGCUUCGACCCCGACCUCUUCUUUUCUAUGGUGUAGCAUUUCUAUUAAGAAUUUUUGAAAUCGAAAAGAAAAUAUAUUAAAGUUACUGCACUUUAGUACUACCGUAACUGCUGAGUGUUUCUAACCUAACCCUAAUUAUGUGUGUAUCUUCCUCUGUCUAUGAAAAAAAAAAAAUAGUACCACGGUAACCUGUAACAACACCGGCCAAUCACAAGGAUGCCCCGCCUGCUCCCCCGACAGUGCACCAAGCCUAUAUAGGAAUGGGACAUUAGAAAUAUCUUCAUCGUCAUCCGCAUCUCCUACCAUUUGGGCUCCAAUGGCUUCUCUGUCUUCCGUACUCCUCAUCCUCUCCCUCUUUUACAUCCCUGCUCUAAUCAUCGCUGCCUCAUCCGACGGUCGGGAAACCUACAUCGUCCAUGUUGCCAAGGCCCAAAAGCCCUCCGUUUUCCCCACCCACCACCACUGGUACUCUUCCAUCCUCCGCUCUCUCUCCCCCCUUUCCGCUCACCACCCCCCUACCAAGCUCAUCUACACCUAUGACCACGCUGUUCACGGCUUUUCUGCCCGCCUCACCUCCUCCCAGGCUGCAGAGCUCCGCCGUCGCCGCUGCGUCCUCUCCGUUGUCCCCGACAGCGUCCGCCAACUCCACACCACCCGCACCCCUCACUUCCUCGGCCUAGACGACUUCUUCGGCAUCUGGCCCAAUUCUGACUACGCCGAGGACAUCAUCGUAGCUGUCCUCGACACGGGCAUCUGGCCCGAACGUCCUAGCUUCUCUGAUGAAGGCCUUUCUCCUGUUCCUUCAAGCUGGAAAGGUGUAUGUGAGACGGGCCCGGAUUUUCCCCCAACUUCGUGUAACAAAAAAAUUAUAGGCGCUAGAGCUUAUUACAAAGGAUACGAGGCCAAUUUGGGAAUGUCCUUGCAAGAAGCAGGAGAAUCCAAGUCCCCUAGAGAUUCAGAAGGUCAUGGAACGCAUACCGCAUCCACCGCAGCUGGAUCGGUGGUGAAGAACGCCAGCCUCUAUGAAUACGCUCGAGGCGAGGCCAGAGGAAUGGCGAUUAAGGCCAGGGUUGCCGCCUACAAGAUCUGUUGGAGCGCAGGAUGUUUCGAUUCAGAUAUAUUAGCAGCCAUGGAUCAAGCCAUUGACGAUGGAGUUCACGUCAUCUCCCUUUCUGUUGGCGCCAAUGGCUACGCUCCCCAGUAUGAUCAUGAUUCCAUUGCAAUUGGUGCGUUUGGCGCUGCGAAGUACGGGAUCGUGACCUCUUGCUCCGCGGGAAAUUCUGGUCCAGGUCCCUACACUGCCGUGAAUAUCGCGCCGUGGAUUCUUACAGUCGGUGCUUCCACCAUCGAUCGGGAGUUCCCUGCGGAUGUUGUUCUAGGCGAUGGAAGCAUAUACGGCGGCGUGUCGCUGUAUGCCGGCGAGCCCCUGGGGGAUACUCAGCUUCCGCUGGUUUAUGCAGGGGAUUGCGGAAGCAGCUACUGUUAUGAAGGCAGGCUUGAUUCUUCCAAAGUCAAGGGGAAGAUUGUGAUAUGCGACCGCGGUGGUGGAAAUGCCAGAAUGGCCAAAGGAACCGCAGUCAAAUUAGCCGGCGGCGGCGGGAUGAUACUGGCAAACCUUGCAGAUUCCGGGGAAGAGCUCAUCGCGGAUUCGCAUCUAAUUCCGGCUACGAAUGUGGGGCAAAAGGCCGGCGACAAAAUUAAGAGCUACCUCAGGUCUGAACCCUCGCCGACGGCUACCAUUGUUUUUAGAGGAACGGUUAUCGGGAGCUCACCGUCGGCGCCGCGUGUGGCGGCAUUCUCGAGCCGCGGUCCGAAUCAUUUGACGCCGGAGAUUCUAAAGCCAGAUGUGAUUGCGCCCGGGGUGAAUAUCCUAGCUGGUUGGACCGGGUUGGUUGGCCCAUCCCAGUUGGACAUUGACCCGAGAAGGGUGGAGUUCAAUAUUGCAUCGGGGACGUCCAUGUCGUGUCCUCAUGUGAGUGGAUUAGCGGCACUGCUUCGUAAAGCCCAUCCAAAGUGGACUCCGGCGGCUAUUAAAUCGGCUCUAAUGACCACUGCUUACAACGUGGACAACAUCGGAGAGAGCAUUAAGGACCUUGCCACCGGGGAAGAGUCGAACCCGUUUGUUCACGGGUCGGGACACGUGGAUCCCAACAGGGCGCUCAAUCCUGGUUUGGUUUACGACCUGGGAACCAGUGAUUACGUGGCAUUUUUAUGUGCCGUCGGGUACAGUCCGGGGAGGAUAGCAGUGUUUGUGAGGGAUGGGCCUGUUCCGGUGGAUUGCGGUGCCCAGGGGAUGGGUACCCCGGGAGACUUGAAUUAUCCAUCGUUCUCGGUGGUCUUCAGUCCCGGCAACAGCGUGGUUAAGUAUACGAGGGUAGUUAAGAAUGUGGGGAGCAAUGCAGAGGCCGUGUAUGAGGUGAAAGUAAAUGCUCCUCCGUCUGUGGAGGUGACUGUUUCACCGAGUCAGCUGGUAUUCAGCCAAGGGAACGAUACGUUGUCGUAUGAGGUCUCAUUUACGACUGCAAGUGGCAUCCUUGUUGGUGCCCUCAAGCCUGCGUUUGGGUCACUAGAGUGGAGCGAUGGGGAGCACCUUGUGAGAAGCCCAAUUGCAGUUGUUUGGCGUCUGUCUCCAUCUGCGGAAUCCAUGUGAGGUUUCAAAUUGGGGGAAAAGAAAUGAAUACCGGUAAAUCGCUCAGCCGCUGUGCAAUGAGGUUGUUUUAGCUUUUGUAAAGAGUUAGCUGUAAGGAUCAAUCGUGAAGAACAAAUAGCUUUGCCCACGAACGCUUUUUAUAACCGGGAAGCGAGCGGAGUUGACAGAACAAACGCUGCUUAAUGGUAGAGCUUGGUUGUUUCAGAGUAUGUCCGUCCGACAAGAAUUUGCUGUGCUAGAAAGUUCAUUCAUACCUCCCUCCCACCCAUGUUUGGGACUGGGAGGGCCUGAUGCCUGAAUUCCCUCGCAGCGUCCAUGUAUGGAUUUAUUAUUACUACUAGUUAAAUUGGAAUGCUACAUGUUACACGCCGUCCCUGAUAAAGGAAGCGCAUUAGUUUCCGUACCCUUUUCCUUUUCUGAGAGUUCUUGUUGCAUUUUCUUUUCUUCCGCAUAGCCCCAUCAGUUCUAUCUUGCAUUACUAGGAUAUGGUUAGGUUAGGCCAUACGAUCGAUCGGGAUGCAGGAGAGGGUGCAGAUCAAGCGGAGAUAAGAGUAACAUUCUGAGUCACGAAUGUGCAGAAUAUGGCAUGAUGGAUGAGGACUCUUUAGGAGAUGAAAUUCCAGCGGCAUCAAAAGAUCCAGGAGGCAAACAGUAACCAAUUCAUUUCUCUAAGUCACUCAAAACCCUGGUCUACCACGUAAUGAAGAACCUAGAACCUAGAACUGUCCUUAACAACAAAGGAUCGAACGGAAAAGGCGAAACAAAACUAUUCUCACACAGCCAUAAUCAUCAAUCCCUUCCAUUUACUUUUCCAUUAAUCAUUAAUCUGAACCCAUAUGAAAUAUAAUGCAAGACCGCAACGUUGGACUUUUCCAGUAAUAUGGUAUGGUGCUAAGUAUAAGUUACAGGCAGACAAUUUUUUAAACGCAAGUCAUAAUUGUAGUCAGAUGAAGAGUUGUCCCGGUGGAAAAUCGGCCUUAGCUAAUGCUUAAGGUUAGACGCUCCAAUGCGACUUCUUCAACCUGUUACAAUACCCAUAAGAUAUUCUUACAUGAACUCUUUUUUAAACAUAAAAAGAGCUUCAGAACCUACUUGUGCAUUCCAAAACUCGCAGGGCUCAAUUUAAAAGGUCAAAAAAGGAUGAAUCACAGCAUUCUUUAACAAAGCCUUCAAGUUUCCAAAACUUUGCAGAUUUUGCUGUUGUUCAGUUCCCCUGGAUGAGUAUUACAAUCAGAUAAUUCCUUUCCACCAUUGUCUCUCACUGUACCUUCUAGUGACCAUAUUUCUGAAACUCCCACUCGCUAUUGUCUGCAACAGAGACCAAACGUUCAAGUUAUAUAUUUGACCUGCUUGUAAAGGAUAUCAAACAAAGACUGAGCUAAAGCAAAUACCGAGGGGGCAAACUUGACGGGUUUUGAGCCAACGGCUGAUGCAGUGGAAAUGAAAAGCAUGAUUACAUACGCCUACAAACAUAAUCAAGAACAUGAUUAAGAUACCAGAAUUGUAACAAACAGAACUGAUACAACUAUUAUUAACUUUAUCUGCAAAGCUCUUACAAAUACACACAUGCAUUAAGAAAUGAAGAAAAAGAAAAAAGACCAGACUAUGCAAUAUGCAAACUCACUUGUUAGAUAAAACUAAUACAAAAAGAGAAUUCUAAUUUGGGGAGUAGCAAAUAAGACCAUUUAUGUGGCACAAGCAAUAUGCUGCACUGUGUCAAUUAUUCACUUGCAUAUUAGGAAAGCAAGGUAUGGAGAGCUUAUAUAUUCUUCCAUUCCCAAGUGACCCCAGCCCAAACAAUCAGUUACAGGAAAGUAUUAUGCAAGAAACCUUAAUUAUCAAUUUAAUUCCAAGUUACCCAAAAAAAGAGUCUGUUUGCACAAAUACACGAGAUGUGGAAAUUAGAUUUUAUAGGGUUUUCACCGUCAUCAAAAAGUUUGAAACAUCAUAGACUAUUUGUACAAUAUAGUUAUUCUCAGCCUCUUAGUCAUCUUAAACUAGAAAAGGCUAGCUGAUUCUAUAUGCACUAAAGGAAGCAUAAAAGAAAAGAUAGCAAACCAAACAAAGAGGGAAACCGAGUAGAAAAGUUGAAACAUCAAAUUAUCAAAGGUGCCUCAGGUUUUUUUCUCUACCAAAGGUUUCAUAAAAAAAUCAACACAGAGAAGAGCAAGAAUUUGCUUCCCUAAAGAGGAGAUAAAAGAUUAUUUCCAAAACCCAUGUUUGAAAACUUGGAAGAAUGAAAGAUAAUAAACACUUCAGAGAUCCAACCUCAUCUUCCAUGAAGUUUUCUGGAACCUAAGGAUGUCAAUCAAGAAGAGCCAACGAUGAAAUAAAUAUCACAUAGAAUCUCCGAAAAAAAAAGAUAGAAUAAGAACUUAAAUAGAAAGGAGUUCAAUUUUUACAUGGGGUUGAGAGAGAGAAAGAGAGUCAAAAUUAAUACCCAUGGACUACAUUAAAGUGCAGCAGGCUGGCUAAUUCUUCAAUUAAGCAGAUAGUUUUAGCCAUGAGUAUCAGUAUUAGCAUGUUUACCAAUAUGAAGUAAGUUCAGGCCUUAAUAGUAGCAGAUUUAGAGCUAUUAUCUAGGAAUCAAAGUUUCUCUGGCAAACUGCAGUUUGCUAUUGAACGUUCAACAUGGGGAGGUUAUUUCCACAAACUAAAUUUCACCUAAUUAUACUCCUGUCACCGGAUCUCCCUUAGGCCCUAUCAAUUGCACAUAACAGAGAUCAAUUUUUUUUAAUAUUACAUUUUUCUUGAUUAAAUUGCGUGAAAUCAGCUUCAAGAUUUGUAGAUGUACAUCUCAUCCUUUUUCCUCUUCAUCUUCAGAUUCCUCCCCAACAUUAGGAUUCUUUAAUGAAAUUCUCUAAAGCUGAAAAAAGCAAUUACGUAUAUGAAUUCCAGUCACAAGUACAUCAUCAUCCACAGCAGCAAAUGUAAACAAUCAAGAUUUGUUGAAAAACAGUCUACAGCUAAAACAAACAUGUUACAUAAACUAUAUCACCCAUACAUUUGCAGCUAAAGAAGCUAUGCAUCAAAAUCACAUGAGAAACCUUUAAAUUCGAAAUAUCAACAAACAUCUUUGGCAAAUGCUUGUGUUAGGGAUUAGAUUCCGACACAUACCCCACGCAACAGUGCACUCCUCACUUGUGGCGCUAGCUUGAUUGGCCUGACACUCGAUACCUGCAAUCGAAUUUUUGUUAUUUAUAAAUCUUCACAUAAAUUCAUCUUCAGCUCACGAAUACUGAGAAAUGCUUCACAGGAACUCACAUAGAUCCAUGAUAUGAUUCCUGCAGAUGGCACAGUUGUCCACAACAAUAUCUGCACAAAUAAACCCAAGAUUCCAGACCAAAAUUACAUAAUCAUAAAAAUGAAAAAACUAAGCAAAGACCUUCUGAAUUUAGAGAACAACUACUAGACCAGCAUAAGAUGAUUAGUCUUAAUCUACAAACAGAGAAAUUAAAAGGGAAGGACUACUUACCCCAAGCCCAAAGGGCAACAGCAUUCCACUUCUUGAUCUCGAAGCGUUUAGGCUUUUUUGAAGCAGCUGGAGCCGAUGAAGAUCCUUCGCCGGCGGGAACCAUAAUCACGUCGGUGUCCAUUGCCAGGGACGAUUAAUCGUGAUUUUCUAGGGCUUUUGGGUAGUUCUGCGGAAUAUUACAAAACCUUUCUUCUAUAAUUACUAAUAGGGAUAAUUGCAGAAAACUCGUGACAUUUGAACUGACCUCCCCUGUGGUUUGAAAAAUUACACUGACUUCCCCUGAGAUUACUAAUCCUUUGUAAAUUCAGUCCAAACGAUUAAAAUAUUAUUUUAGGGAAUGAAAUUAGAAUUUUUUACCAAAUUUAUCCUUUGUACUACAUGUCCAAUGAAUGACAAAGUACUACAAAUCAAUUAACAAUCAAUAAACUUUAAGGAAUAUAGUUUAUAGGCAAAUACACAUUACCUAUUUAGAGUACUAACUCUUUAUGAGUAUUUUACUUUCAAACAUUUAAUUUAAUAUAAAUAUUUACGCUCAAAUAUAGAUUUAUAUUUACUUUCAAAUAUUUAAUUUUUGUUAAAUAAAAAAACUACCAAUCUUUCUUCCGUAAAAAUAUUAAUAUAACACUUUUUCAAUUUUAGUUACAAACAAUUAUGUAUUUAACAUAAAUUAAAUGAUUCAGAAUAAAAUACCCAUAAAGAGUAAAUACUUUACUCGUGUAAUAGAUGAAAGUCAUAAAGAAUUAAUACUUUAUGGGCUAUUUCUUUUUUUAAUAUUUAAUUUAUAUUAAAUAAAUAACUUACCAAUUUCCUUUUUGCAAGAAUAUUAUUGUAACACUUUUUGAAUUUUACUUACAAACAUUGAUAUAUUUAUCAUAAAUUAAAUGUUUGAAAAUAAAAUACCUGUAAAAAACCUGUACUUUAAAUGAGUAAUGCGUGUUUGUCCAUAAAAAGCUGGUAACUAUUUAAAGUACCGGUUCUUUACGGGUAUUUUACUUUCAAAUAUUUAAUUUAAUACAAAUAUUUACGCUCAAAUACAGAUUUGUAUUUACUUUCAAAUAUUUAAUUUUUAUUAAAUACAAAACCUACCAAUCUCUCUUCCGUAAAAAUAUUAAUAUAACACUUUUUUAAUUUUAGUUACAAAUAUUUAUAUAUUUAACAUAAAUUAAAUGAAUAAAAUGCACAUAAAGAGCGAAUACUUUACUCAUAUAACGGAUGAAAGCCAUAAAAAUUUAAUACUUUAUGAGUCAUUUCUUUUUUUUUAAAUAUUUAAUUUAUAUUAAAUAAAUAACCUAUCUAUUUCUUUUUUGCAAGAAUAUUACUGUAACACUUUUUAAAUUUUACUUACAAAUAUUGAUAUAUUUAUUACAAAUUAAAUAUUUAAAAGUAAAUAUCCGUAAAAAACCGGUAUUUUAAAUUAAUAAUGCGUGUUUGUCUAUAAAUUAUAUACUUCUUAAAAUUUAUUAAUUGUUAAUUGAUUUAUAGUACUUUGUCAUUCAUUGGACAUGUAGCACAAAGGGCAAAUCUAGUACAAAAUUCUAAUUUCACUCCCUAAAUAAUAUUUUAAUUGUUUGGACUAAAUUUGCAAAGGAUUAGUAACCUUAGGGGAGGUCGGUGUAAUUUUUCAAAUCAUAAGAGAGGUCAGUGCAAAUAUUAGAAAUCUCAGGGGAGGUUUCUGCAAUUAUCCGUUAAUAAUAACGUCAAACUCAAAUUAAUUAAUCAUGUUAGCACUCCUGACUUAUCUUAACCACGGGAUAAGGUUAGUACAAGUUGGACAUGUAUUUGGGCCGCACCUACAGCACUUUGGAAGGAGUAAAGGCCCAUGUAAUUCUAUCCAGGAUGGAUGUUAUUUGUCAAGCCUUUAGAGACAGUGACCGAACAUGGGAACUUCUGACCCACUUCUUCAGGUUUUUGUGUCUCUUUGUGACGAUCCAAAUCAGAACUGCCUGUGGUGUGGAUUUAGGUGGGCUUCCAUGGUGACAUUCUGGGAUCUAAAAGCUCUUUCACUGCUGGAGUAUUAUUAAUAUGAAUCCUUUCCUUUUUUUUUUUUUAAAUAUAGAAAUAGAAAUGGCAGUAUGGGUUGACCGUAGGGAUAGAUUGUGGGUGUUAACUUAAGUGCCAUCCAGUCCUUUGUCAUUGUUGCCUGUGGAAUCUUUGUAGUGUACACUGCUCUAAAAGAAAUAACCACUGGCCAAUGGCUCCCUGGCCACCAGGGAGGGACUUAAGUUCCUCUUGAGUUAUUGGUGAGGGUUCAAACCUCACAAGCAGCGAAAAAAAUCUAAAGUUUGUGUCAUAGUACUCCCUUGAUUUAGUUGGGUCUGUAUACUCACUAGCCCCUACAAUAGCCUCCUUGCUGACAAAAAAAAAAAAAAAACAUUGCUCUAAAAGAAAAGAAAUGAAUUAAUGAUACAACUCUAAAAAGGUACCAAUUACUAAUUUGAUUAAAUUCAGGUUGAGUUUUUGAUUGAGUUGCUUGUGAGCAGCUUGCAAGCAAUUUGGUUCAUUUACCCUCUGCUUUUUCUUUUUUUCUUUUUUUUUUUCUGUUUUUGGACAAUUGGACUUUCUUUUCUUUCUUAAAACGUAUAUUCAAAGGGACAUAUGUAGUGGCUUUCUGCCUUUCUGGGAUGUGCCAAGUUGUAAUGUCACAACGCUACCAACAACCUUUUUACAAUUCAAAUUGCGUGACCGGUUGUCAACUGUCAUAUUGAAUGAGUAGCAGGCUAGCUUUGCCUAAACUCUUAAAAUUGGCUAAUCCUUCGUUAUCGCGGCACUCACAUCAAUUAUAGAGUUAAUGCACAUAUACAAGUUGAAGAACGCAGUUGUUUUAUCUUAUGUUUUCAAACUCGGACCGGUAUCGAUUCGGUCGAACUCAUAAGUCAGGGGUUAAUGGAUUCAAUGGGAUUCGAUCGGGAUUGAAUCGGAUGACGUUAUAAAUAAAAAUUAUUUAAAUUUUAAAAUGUUAUAUGUAAAAUACUUAAGAGCAUGUUAAUAUUAAUAAAGAUAUAUUCAUAUAUAUAUUUAACAAGAAAAUACAAAGAAAUUAGAAUGAUUAAGUAGCAAUUUAUAUUAUUUAAUGAACAUUAGCAAGUUUAUAAUUAAAAUAAUAGACUUGAUUGAAAAAUAACAUCAAAUUUUAGGACAACAUUUAUAAAGUAUGAAAUAUUUGAGGUAUAUUAAUAAUUUUUAACAACUUAGGGGUCAAAACAAAAUAUUGAAAAAAUUUUACCUUUAAAAAAAAAAGGGCUUUGACCCCAACGCUUCUUCUGGUUUUCCGGUCAAAUCCGAUUUUUUGAUCGAAUUUGACCGAGUUUUUAUCCACAUGAUCUUUUAGAAUAAUUUGGACCGGACACUUGACCGAUUUUUAGAUUUGAUCGGUCGGACGGCCCCAUCCGGUCCAAGUUAAAAAACAUAGAUUUUAUCCGACCGAUCCAAGUUUAUAAACACAGGUUUUACUAGAUGAGAUGUCACCAAUAAGAAAUGAAAAUCAACUCAAUUCACUCAUGUUAUACCCAUCUUCACAUUGAAAUCAAAUUUUCACAUCAUCAAUCUGUACUUUUUCCUCGGAUAAGCGAACUUCCUGGUGGCUUCCUUGAGGAAGGCAGCUUGAAUAAUAAAGGUCAAGAAGAAGGGGAAAAAAGAUACUCCAUGAAACGCUAAUAAGCUACAAGAAGUUGUUAUAGUAUUUUAAUCCUCUGGCUAAGAUCCGCUUGACAAUAAUAUGAGGCGCAAAAGUUGUUGUAUGGGUACAGCCGAACAAGAAAAGAUUUCAUGAUAUCAUCAUAUCCUCACUCAACAUGCCCUAUUUUAGAGCCCAUAAUACGACAGACUCGUUUCUCUCCAAAUAGUAGUAGUAGUAUGCCAAUUUUGCUCCAUGCCGUUCGAAAAUGAAAUGUACUGAUUCAAUAUAAAAAGCCAACCAGCACAGGGCAGUGUUAAUGAGUACAACAAGAAAAUUCGAAAAUCAGGAUUAGUCAUAUGAAGAGACAUAUAUAUAUGUUCCAAAAUUAAAGCCGGAGCAAGAGUUAAGGACGUAAGUAAUCCCAUAAUUAAAAUAAUAAUAAUAAUAAUACUAUACUCCAUCUUAUUAUUAUUACAUUGGAAAUAUUUAUCCACUAAUUCGUGCCGAUCACAAAAUCUCACCACCAUGACGAUUUUUUUUUUUCCCUUCUUAAAAUAAAAGAAGGUGUCUUGUUGUAUAGUCUAAUAAAGACGAAAAGAAAAGAUGCUUUGAGGCACGGUCAACUCCUUUCUCAUUUAUUACCUUCCCUCAUGGGCCUCGUCUCCUGGGACACUUGGCGCAAUACUAUAGGUGGCAUUGGAUUGACAUAGAAAAAUAUGUCACCGAGGAUUCCAAGUGCCCAGCACUUCGGAUCCUCGGUGACAUGUUUUCUAUGCCAAUCCAAUGUCACCUAUAAUAUUGUGCCAAGUGUCAUGUUAUUAUUUACACUUGUGUUAAACCAAACCAAGUUGAAUUAUUAAAAAAUUAAAGUAUAAAUAAUAAUGGGACACUUGGCGCAAUACUAUAGGUGGCAUUGGAUUGACAUAGAAAAAUAUGUCACCGAGGAUUCCAAGUGAUCUCCCCGGGCCCUAGUCCCUAGUCCCUAGUUCCCCAUUCCCCCCUCCAUACAAAUUAGGCAUUAGUAAUUACUGCUAGAUUUCAAUAACACCCAUACUGCUGCUACCUACCAAUUGUAAUGGCCCAAGUUUCCAAAGCCGAAACUGCCCCAUUCACUCCCACCAAAAUGACCCCCGUGCAUUCCUCCUCCGCCCACUUCCGGUGGACGACAGGCCGAUGGCGACUGUCAUUCCGGAGGAGGACGAAGCUGCCCACCGUCCGACUAGGAGGAGCUGGUGGGAAGAAGCCCCGCAGGAGAUUCUUUCUGGUGAGGCUCUGGAGACGUGUGAAGUUGAGGGCGCUGAAGCACAAGUAUAUUUGCAUGGUGAAGAAGCUCAAGGAUUAUUAUGGUGGUUUAGUGAAGGAGCUGAUGGAAGCAGGAGGUGCGAUGGAGCCUUUCCAGCAGAGAAUCCUGAUAGAGACUUCAUUUGCUGUUCCCGUCAUGGGUCUGUCCUUCAACAGCUUCCCCAACAACUAUGCCUUAGACCACCACCGCUCAGUUUCAACCCAUCCGCCUCAUCAUCUUCUUCAUCAUCAUGUAUAAAUUCAUACCAUUUUCGGGUUCAGUUUCCGUGAUCAUGUAAUAAGUUCCAGUUGCCGAUCUCAACCUCUUACUUUUAGCUGCUCCGUCUUCCUUUUCUAAAUUUCUUUCUUCUUUUAAGGGGAAAAAAAAAAAGAAGAAAAGAAAAAUCUUUUUUUUUUUUUUUCAAAACAAAAUUUCGCCCGACAGACAAGUAUGAUGAUAAUCGAUCACACACUAACAAUGCGAACUAAGAAACCGGGAGAGGUUUCAUCAUGCUACUCUGGUUGAACUCCUAGAUUGAUCACAAGGUUCGUGCCGGUUUUUGGAAUACUUUUCCUGAAAUGUUAUAGCGCUUUUAGCCUUUUGUUAUAAACAUUUCUAAACUACCCUGCGUAUAAUUAUGUUACACACUUAAAUUCUAAAUUGUAAUUAUCACCUGUUGCAUCGACCAUUUGUUUGCAUGAAAGAAAUAAUUAUUUAAGGAGUUUUUAUUGAAAAAUGUACGAAUCAUCCAUCAUCGUAGGUCUCACAAGUUUUAGUUCAAAUUAAUUAAUCGAGAACAAAAUGAUUACUGUUUUUUAUAUAUUUUUUAUUCCACACUGUUACUUAUUUACACCCCGUGAAUAUCAUCAUGUCUCUGCUUAUCUACGCUUCAGGAGUCAGCAAACUGGUUUGAAGUUUGAACUAGAUAACAAAUGAAGAUGCGCAUGUUCACGAAUUUAAUAUUUUUAUUAAAUGGACAUAAUAAUAAGUGGGUGGUUUUUAUAUUUUUAACUGCUUGAGAAGUACUGUACUUUUAGCGGGAGCAAUAGGUCUGUGGAAUAGUUGCUGCAGUGAUCGAACGUAGCUGGACAGGCAGAUGGGCUGUCAUUGACACUUGAGGCAUGAGGGUUUUGUUUUAUUCUUGACAAAGUACAAUCUACGAAGUUUGGCUGCCGCAACGCUCAAUUCAUUAUUGCAAUGCAACACAUAUUAUUGUCAAAAAAGAAAAGAAUGGAUACUCUUUGAGUUGGCUCGCUUGUGAAGGUUGAUAUCCCGCGUCAGGGUUGGGGGUUUGGGUGGUUAGUAUAUUAGUUUCCUGUGAGAUCUUCAAAAGUUGUCGGUUUUUGAGGGUUCUUACGGAGUUAAGGUUAGGAAAAAAAACGUCCAAAAAUCUGUUGAUUUUGACAAAAAAGACAUCAGUCUCAGUUAUUGGGGGGUAUGGGGUCUCCUUAGGUCUGGCAGACUCCCUUGUGGAGGUUGAUAUCCCACAUCGGAGUUGGAAGGGUUUGAGUGGUUAGUAUAUUAGUUUCCUGUGAGACCUUCAAAAGUUGCCGAUUUUCAAGGGUUCUCACGGAGUUAAAAUUAGUAAAAAAGCGUCCAAAAAUCUACUGACUUUGACAAAAAAAAAAAAAGAUACUCUUUGAAUUGAGUUGAGUCGAGUUGAGUUGGACUCACAUGGAGACCAAUACCCGAAUACCGCACCAUAACAAAAUAUGGUCCAGCUGUAUGCGUAAUUGGUAUUUUGUACAGUACUGCUCAACGAAUGGAAAGUGAUCGAGCGACGCUUGAAGUCUUGCUUUUAUCUCAAGAAACAACAAACAGUUGCCCUGCAUGGCAAUUGGUACAGUUAGUAUAUAUCGCACUGUACUCUCACAGGACAAACGAGUAAUGGACAUUGGACAACGACACGACAUCCUCUCAUGGGUCAUCUAUUAUCGAUCUAUAGAUGCUAUCAUCUUCAUCGGCCGGCCAAUAAACUAAGAUUGCGUUUGAAUUGCAUUUUUCAUGAUUUUUCAUAGAAAAAUUACUGUAACGAUUUAAUAUAUGUGAGAAAAAAAAGAUAAUAGGGAAAUGUGAUCACGAAAAACAACGUAAUUUUCCGACGAAAACUGCAAUCGAAACAAGGCCUUUUGUUCUUCAUUUCCGCAAACAAAGAGAGGCGAGAACAUCUCAUAACACUGUAUAACUCAUCUUAAUUAGCAUCCUCUGAUCAAGUUAGAACUCGAAAAUGUCAACAGCAUUUCUUGAACAUCAGCCUCUCUUUUAUCGAAUGAAACCAUAGCACUCCAACCCCACCACCACCCCUAGGAAAAUGGAAAGAUUCUUAGAUGACGAUGCAUUAAGAAACUAUUGCCCCGAAUGCAUCCCUUUCGAAUCUGCCCGUUUUUCGUUGCAAUCAAAAAAUUCAUCAUAAUGCGCUUGUUGUUGGCCCUUUCCGGCGGCAAUAAUUUGUAUGUUCAGGUAGAGUUGUUUUGGGGCAGAAAGACACCUUUUAUUGGCGGAGGGUGCAGGGGUCUUAAUUAACUUCUCAUUGUUUAAGGACUUGGUAGUUAGAGGAGAUCUGAAAUGAUUGUACAAAUUUUAGAUCCUGAUACGGCAAUUGAUAUGUGCAUAAACUUUACGGGAACCCGACAGACGGUAGACGAUUGUCAAUGUUUAAUUGUUUUUUUUUUAGGCAAUUUUUCAAUGUUUAAUUGGACUCCACGUCUACACCAUCAUUCAUUUUCUUAUAAACCUGCUAUCGCUUCAAAAAUCACCCGAUGAUUAUCUAAACCUUUACUAAUUUCACACGGGUUACAUCUUUCUUUACAUUCGUUUGGAUAACAAACGGUAGCUUUCAUUGAGUAUGGAAAUUAGAACUCAUUCCCCUUUUGUUAAUAUUAGCAUCAAAUUGACAACGACCUAAUCCGUCAAAUUCAUCCUCAUUGUCAUGAAAUUGCUCAGAUAUUUCCAUCCAAUAACUUUGAAUUAUUUUUUACAAAAAGCCCCUUUAUGCUCAUAAUUAAUCAUACCUUUUGACUCCAUGUACUAAGCACAUUCAAGAUUAGUUAGAAAUGUUUUGACUCCAUUUACUAAUUGUUUGGAUAGAGCUUUAUUCCAAAUAAUUAUUUGAAAUAAUUACUGUAGCAUUUUUUGUGAUGUGAUGUAUGUGAGAUAAAAAGGUGGUUGAGAAUAUAAAAAGGUGAACUGAGAAAUGUGUUUAUGAUACAAGUGAAACAUUUUUUUGGAAAAUUUUGCCAUCCAGACAUAGCCCUCGAAUAUAUUAUUUAUUUAAACCAAAAAAUAAUUUUCAUUUUCCUUUGCCAAAUUAAAUAUAACUAGUGUUAAGACCACAAUCAAUAUAAUUAGUGAAAAGUUGGGCUGACAACAAAAUGAAAAAAGUGUAAAAUUGGCUAUCAAACAAAUGCUCAAAUGUUGUCUAUUCAAACGGAUUUUUACGUACAACUUCUAGUAAUCGUGAGCUACAUCACAUAAUUUUUAGUUUAGUAUAAUUCAAAAAAAAAAAUUUGCUGCAUUUAGUUGUAAACCAAAAAGCCCUGAUCCGUUAAGCGUAGAGUCUUGUAUCUUCUCCGCCUCUCUGAUGCCUUGUGAGUAGAAGUGUCAAAAUGGGUGACUUGGGCGGGUUUGGGUUGGGUAAAAUGAGUAAUGGGUAUAACUGAGUCAACUCAUUCAUACCUAUUUAAUUAGAUGGGAAUAAAUGAGUAAGUCAAAAAAUGAAUUGGAUAACUCAAUUACCCAUUUAUAACCCAUUUAUUUUAACUUUUUGUAAACUCAUUUAAAUUCAUUUUUGCAAACUAAGUUAUCAAUUUAUACUACUCUUUGUACCCAUCAUUAGUUUUAAAUAUUUAUUUAUAAUGUUCAAUAAACUUAAUUAUCAAUUUUUUUUCAUUUAUACUCUGUGUCACAAAAUUACCUAUUAUUUAAUAAUUGAAUAAUAAGAAUAUAAAAAUUUGAACUAAGUACUAUAAAAAUUAAUAUAAAAACUUAAUCCAAAAAUUUUGAACCCCUAACAUUUUUUUCAUAUAUAAAUUUAAAAUUUCAUUUUAGAAAGAUAAGAAAAUAGGCUAAAAUUUAUCAUAAAUUAGUAAUGCUGAAAAAUGAGUAAGUUAACAAACUAAGAGAAAAUAAAAUAAUAAGAUAAAACCAACAAAUAAUAAUAAUAAUAAUAAUGAAACAAAAGUAGUUAACAUCAUGACAAAAUAAAUAAUUUGAAAAAAAAAAUGGGUGGGGGAAAAGAAGAGACUUGGGGGGAAGAGAAUUGUAAAUGGGUUAAUUGGGUUUGAUGGGUUACCCAAUAAUACCUAUUUAUUAAAUGGGUAUUAUUGGGUAACCCAUUUAUACCCAUAUACAAAAAUUUAAGAUACCCAUACCCAUCUAUUCAUGGGCGGGUAUGGGUAAAUUUAAUUAAGUGGGUUGAUUUGCCACCUCUACUUGUGAGUAGGGCUGCAAACGAGUCGAGUCGAGUCGAGUUUUGAACUAAUCGAGCCGAGUCUCGACUAAAUUUUACCAAAAUCGAGCUUGACGAGCCAGCAAUUUUCGAGCUCGAGCUCGAGCUCGAAAAAAUAAAAAAAAAUAAAUAUUUUAUUUUUAAAAAAAUAAAUAAAAAUAAUAUUUUUUUCUUAAUAAAUAAUAAAAUAUUAAGAAUAUAUACGUAAUUUUACUAUAAAAAUAAAAAAUAAAAAAAUAUAAUAUACAUAAUUUGAUUAUUAAAUAAAAAAAAAUAUAUAUAUAUACUCAAACUCGCGAGCUGACUCGCGAGCUAACGAGCUUAAUAUUUUGAACUCGAAUUUGACUCGAGUCGCUCGCGACUCAAUCCGUUUGCAGCCCUACUUGUGAGUUCUUUUUGCCCGUUGCUUCUAAAUUACACCCAUGUCCUGACGCCCAAAACAACACAGCCUGUUUAAGUUAGUUAGACAGGUGGGUGAUUGUUGUUUGGGCCUGUUUUCUUCUAAAUAGGAAACUCGACGAGAAAAUUCACAUCUGUUGUUGUAGUUUAGCACAAAUCAAUUGUGACUGCUAGUCGAAGGCCUGUGUGGAUAGGUCCAACCCGAGCCCAAAUAUACAAACAGGAAUUAUCGAGGCAGAAUUGCGGAUGCAAAAUUGCAAACACGUCACAUGGCCGCGCCCUCUCCCCUGCCCAAGUGUUCCCCACGGCCCCCACAAUGUGUCCACGAGAGCUAAUAAAAUAAAUGUGUGAUUAAUAAAAAAAUAUAAUUAAUAAUUUAAUAUAAAUAUAUUAGUAUAACUGAUCAAUAAUUUUUAUUAUUAUAAAUAUAUAAUUAUUAGUAUAACUAAUAAUAGUAAUUAUAUUACAUAUACAUAAUCUGAUACUUAUAAGUCACUCCUAUAACUAAAAAUAUUAAAUAUUUACAUUUAUAUUUAGGCGGGUGACAGAGCCUUGCCCCAUUUUUCAACUAGGGAGAAAAUGACCUCCCACUACGUCUCAUUCCCACCCCAUCAAUUCUUCGUGAGUACCCACUCCAACUAUCAUCCUGUGGAUGAAAAGAAUAUAUUUAGCGCCCUUUGUUUUUUUUUUUUUUUGGUGAAACUAUGUCCUUAAUCAAUCUACAUCAUGAGAUAUUUUUCACCAUUAACAAAGUCCCUAUUCGUUAAUCGAACUCAAAAAUAAUCUAUGCAUAUUCACAAAAUAUUUUUCUUCUUUGCUAGAAAUUUUUUUGUGUUUUGGAUAAAGUAUUAUUUGAAAUAAUUACUGUAACACUUGUUGUGAUAUGUGAGAUAAAAAAUAGUUUGGAAUAUAAAAAAAUUAGAUUGAAAAAUGUGUUUAUGAUGCAAGCAAAAUAUUAUUUGAGAUAAAUUUGUAAUCCAAACACGCUCGAUCGAUCAAACUCUCCUAUGAAAUCAACCACAAUCAACAAUUUAUACACCGAUGCGUUAAUUAAAAUCUUCUCACGUGUAAACUAAUACAUGCACAUAUGAAUAUAUGAUGCCAUUAAGUCAUGCACAUUUUCAUAGAAUUCAACUUUCCCAUUCGGCCAUGUCACAUUUGCCAUUGUAUUCCCCUUGAAAAUCUUAACUACAUCCUCGCAGUCUAUAGAUUCAUACGCGUUCGACUAACUUUAAGCAAACCCGCGGCAAAGCAGACAAGUUCAAACGUUACAAACGACUAACGACGAAGAAGUAAGAACGAGGCCGAAUAUAAACAUGCUUAAAUGCUACUACUACGCAGUAAAGUUUUGUGUAUUCUCAAUUUUUUUUUUGUUUUUCAUUUCUUCGAUAGUGAUCAAAUGAUUUUUUUUUUUUUAAUCUUCUUCUUAUAAAUAUCGGUUUGGGUUUGUUCAUGACUUUGUUCGACCGCUGAAUACUAACAAUUUUUACUUUUUUGUGUGUGGAGGAUCGGGGAACAACGUGGCUUUUUCAUCAUCCCAAAUCCACAAGCAAUUAAUUCAACUUACUGCUGGACAUUCCGAGUUAACAUCACAAGACUUCCGAUGCCAGUUACCUUUCAAUACCAACACAACGGUGAAAACACUGAGGAGAAGAUUGGAAAAAAAAAAUCAAUAUUUUCUGAUCAAUAUGGAGUCGUACUAACACCAUUUUCAAAUUAAAAAAAAAAAAAAACAAAGAAGCAUACUGAAAUGUUGACUACAUAAAUCCAGAGAGCCCUCACGUAGGUUGGCUCAGAUUUUAAGAACUCACGGGCUAACAAAAUAAACUCAGAUGCGAUCAUUACUGUUUUCGCUUGGGAAUUGAAAUUUCACGUGUUAGAUGUGAGAUCCAACACAAAAAAAUGGUCCGACCGAAGUGAAAGAUGAAAAAGUUGAAAACGAUCACUAAUUUAAUUGGUUCAAUUCAUUUGGGUCCCUACCGAAUGAUAUUUUUGUUGACAUGGCUCCCAACAGGUCCGGCCAUUAACACGUGUAUAUCGUAUUUCUGGCUGAAAUAAAUGAAUAAUUCAUCAAAAGAGAGAUUGGCCCCAAGAAACUAAAAAUGAUCGCAGCAUGGUGGGGCCUUGCAUGAUUACGGAGCUCUUGUUUUGUAGCAGCGAGUUUCUGUCUUGUGAGUUGUGGCUUGUGAUUGCGGGCGGAAAGAACACUAGAUUUGGUCAAUGGUUUUAACUUUUACCCACAGUUAUAUUAAAAUCCGUCAGCAGAAAUUGUCGAUAGUUUGGGUUUUUUUUUUCUUCUUCUGAUGAAUUUCCUAUAUUCUUCUCGGGGACGAUGGUAUGCCGCCAAGUGCCUAUGCCCAUCCAAAAAGCGAACAUGUUUUUUUUUUUUUUUUUUCCCAAACGGUAACAUUAAUUGUAUUAAGCAUCAACAAGUACAAAGUCAGAGCAACUGCUCCGGUAAAUCUGCCUGAACUAAUUCAAGCAGCCACGCUGAAAAGCUAAGCUUCCAUUCAGCUACAUCAAUCAGAGUUAUAGCAAACUUUGGUAAAUAGUGACUUACAUAGUUGUUGCUCCUUCUAGUAUAGGAAAAACAACAUUGGUCAAAUUCUUUCAUCAUCCUCCAAAUAUCCAACUGAAUAAUGGCUAUGCUGACUUCCUCUUCCCUUGCAUUGAUUUUGUCUACCACGUGCUUACAGUCUGAUUCCAGUUCCGCGUUCCUCCAACCCAUUUGUUUAGCUAGUACCAUAGCUUCUCGUAUUGCCAGAGCUUCCUCCACCUGUACCUCAGCACAACCUUCAGUUGGUCUCGCCCAUGCACCUGCCAAUUCCCCUGAGCUGUUCCUGGCCGCUAUACCCCACCCUGCCUUGUUGAGUUUUUGGUCCAGCCCGCUUGCGGUGUAUCCCAUCUCCUACCCUUUUCCUGCUCUCCAGCCACCAGGUUGUCAUGUUUUGCUCCCCCCCCCCCCCCUUGUGCCAGAUGAAAUUCAUUCCAUUCCAUCAGGGCUUUGUUAAUCACCACCAUUGGCUCGCUGCUCCUGUUAUUGAACUGCUUCUAAAAGCGAACAUGUUAAGAAGAUCCAAAUUUCGUGCUCCUGCAGGUCCAUCCAGUACGGAAAUGUUAGCUAAAGUUGAUGCGCAUUUUAGUCCAUUCUAGUGGCUGAAACACGACACGCUGAUUUGAUAUGUAAUAUUCCGUCUCACAUUAAAAAGUCAAAUGCCGUGAAACAAAUGUAUGUGUUGUGUCUAAACACUCAACUCGUAUUAUUUAGAAUAUCCAUUUUGGUCUAACGAUGACAGAAUUUAAAUACUUUGUUGAAACUGCGAUCGCGUCUUGGACAUGCAGGUCCCAGGCUUGACCCGUUCUCGAAAUUGGGUCAACUAAAUGCAGGAAUACUCCCUCCUUACGGAGAUUAUGGUUUUGUCAAUUGGUUGGCAGUCGCGCGGCCCAAACACGGGCAACUUCGUGCCUGAGAAGAAAUAGACUCAAAUAGUACUUACGUACUAUGAUGGUCAAUUGAAUUGAACAUCCCCGUUUAUUCUGACGACGAGGUUACACAAAAGAUAAAAUGACAGAUAUCAAAUGGGAGACCAUUUACUUACACUCCAUCGCCUCAAACCAAACCAUUCGACCCAUACCUGCCCCAAAACAAAGCCUAGCCGAUUACUGACCGACGCAACGCAAGUGCGUGUACGUGGAGAAAGUGAAUUGUUCUAAUAGUCAGCGUUUUGACUUGUCAAAACUCUAACAUGGGAAUGCAUUGCAUUGCAUUGUGUGACACGAUACUGGACGGAAGGAAUUCGGGUCAAAAUGACGAACAGUUUGCUGAUCCUUCUGCGGUCCGACUGUUGACCCCCUAAACCUAAACACUAAUAAGAAUUUCAAGGAAAUUCAAUGGUCCGAGCAAAAGGGGCAUCCUCCGGUCUCGGCUGCUCUCGACCUCAUUGGCAGGACCUCACCAAUAACAAAGGGGGAGAGAGAGAGAGAGAGAGAGGAAAAUUAAAAAAAAAAAAAAAAAGAAGAAGAAGAAAAGAAGAAGUCGUACUGCUAUUUAUUUCUACAAGUAACCCUUUAAGGUCAAAAUUAGAAUUUCAUUGUUCGACAGGUCCAGUUUCACUAUGGCUAAUUGUCUACUGGUAGUCUCUUUCUUUUUCUUUCUCGCUGCAUGCAGCAGCUUUACUUUUCUCAUUAGCAGCGGGUUCAAACGUCAAACCCUGCCAGAGAAAAUACGCUGAUUUUUUUUUUUUUUUUUUUGUGGGGGGGGUUCCUGGUAUACCUAAUAGCUGUCUAUUUCUUUCCUCCAUGGUUUCGUAUUUGUAGCAUCUUGUUACGUACGUUCUGGGCAAGAAAAUGGGUUCGAACUAUUCUUCUCAUACUACGUUAAUGAGAUGUGGCUCUGGGGACAUAGUACGGCACUCCUCCUCUUUAUCAAGUAUUAACUAAAAAUCGGAGGAUCAAUAAUGUAUCCAUCAGCAAACAUUAAGCUUAGCAAAGCAUGAAGCCCACCUCCUCCAAACCAUGCUGUAAUCUACACAUGCCAUUACCUUCCUAAUAUAAUAUACUAUGAUAACCUCAUCAUCGUCAUCUGAUCUACGCAGUUUGUUGAUUUUAGUAAUUCGUACUGUCAAGACAGAAAGCAGUAUACAAUAUUGGGUUUGGUAGACUCAUCCAAAUCCUACCACAAAAAUAUACAAAGGAUAUAAAGAAAAAGUGAGAAUGAAGGAACCUUAAAGAGAGAGCUCGCGUAUCCGUUUAUCUAUAUGUAUUUCACUAAAAGGCACAAUCCUUAUUCCUUAGGAAGUUGGAUUGCAUUUUCUAGGAUUUUUUUUUUUAAAAAAAAAUUAUUAUAAUAUUUUGAUGUAUGUGAGAAAAAAAAUAAUACGAAAAUAUGAACAUAAAAAACGAUGCAAUUUUCCGGCGAAAAAACGUCUGUCCAAACAAGGCUAAAGGACCUUUUCAAAAGCGUGAACUAAGAAACCAUUGACGGACCAAACUCCCAAGCCUUGUGAGCAGCCACCAACCAACCGCAUGGAAUGGACUGGUCACUGGAGAUAAUGGUUGAAUUGAAGCUGCCAAACUUGCAGGACAGGAGUGAUAAUUGGUCAAUUCCUCUCCUCCCACAGAUCUUUUUUUUUUUUAAAUUUAUUUAAAGAGCAGAAUUUAACAGGCGUUAAUACCCGUCAGCCCAAACGUUUCUUGGAACUUUCAAACUUUUCUUGAAGCAUUUAAAAAUGAAAUUUUUUUUUUUGAAAAGUGUCUUUUGCCAUUUGUCGCCUCAUCUUUCCCUCGAAUGACAAGUUCGUCCCAGUUUUCACUCGGUCCGCUAGACGAAAUUAUUCUUUUCCCGAGAAAGGCAAGAAUCAAUCGCCUCGCAAUAGGUAUGAUAAUUGAUUGUUAGCUCUGGAAUAAUUUACACUGAAGAGUAAGGGUAAAGAAUCCUCCUCUCAGUUAUUUAGUAGUUAAAAUCAUACUAGAAUAUCGAACCAUUAUAACACAAGAUAAUACAUGUAGGUGUGUAAUAUGAGUAUUUAUUAACUAGGGUAAAAAGUUGAAGGCCAGAGUCCUCAAAUAUUACUUACAGAACACAAUUAAAAAGAUUAUUGCGUCCUUUGUUUUCUGAACAAGGUAAGUUAAAUGCAAGCAGCACACAAAUGUCAGAACCAGUAAUAGUAGGGAAUAAGGAUCCCUAAAUAAUAAAAAAAAAAACAAAAGGAAAAGAAUAGAUGAUUCUCCACUUUUCAUCCCCACUCUAGCAGUGCCUUAUGAUUCAUCGCAGCUUGCCUUGUAAUCUUCAAAUUAAAAAAAAAAAAACAGCACUUACAACUCUAUAUAAAAUAAAGGAAAUUGAACAAAUUCAUAUCAACGGGUUUUAUCAAUUAAAAUGCACUAGUCGUCUUAACCAUGCAGUUCAAUUAUUGGUGAAUAGAUUGUAUAAUUGAACAGCUGAGUUAAAGCGCGCAAUUUAUCUCGGCACUGAUUUUUAUAAAUUAAUGCUCAAUUUCAUUCAAAUUGAUAACAAUAUUAUAAGGGAAUGUCUUUUUUAUUUUUAGAAAGGAUAAUAAAUUGGUUGAGAAAAAUUUCACUGGCAAGACUUAAAUUUGGAUAGAUUUAGUCUUUUUUUUUUUUUUUGUUUCAAUGAUAGAUGCAUGUUCAAAAUAUCUAAUAGCCUAGAUUAUGUCAUACCACUUAUUAAGAAGACGACAGUGAUAGAUCCGGCCUUCAAAAUAUCCAAUAAUAAUCUAGGUGUGUGUGGCACAAUCCAAAUGAGGCAUUGAUAAAUAUGAUUUGAUUGGGAAAUGAAUUUAAAAAGUACGAUAGAGACAUCCAAAUAAAGACUCCACAAGCUGUGGCGACAAAAUGAGUGCGAGGUUUAUGCAACCUUUUAAACCCACAGGUACAUGAUUGGUAUUUUAGGACAGCAGAAGGACAAUUAUGUCUACUAAAAUAUCUCCGACUUUCUGUUUAGUUUCCGCGCCGCGUCGUCUUUUCCCCGGGGAAAACUUGAAACUCGUCUUUGACCUGGCAGCCGGAGAAAUUAAAAGCCAUAUGAAAAAUCGUGGCCCAAGCAAACUAUGCGCAACUAAAAGUGCUCCACCCCCCCGCCCCCAGCUAGUCACAAGAAUAUCAUUGAAAACGUGUGGACGGCGAGAUCUUAUUCAUUUAUUUUGCAACAUAUUUUAUGUUCAUCCACCACACUAUGUAAGUAUGUAUAUAUAACUAUCCACAUGCCUUUUAACUGAUCACAACAGUUCUUCUUCAUUUCAUUAGUUACCCCUGUAUCUCCUCACUGCUUUCCUCCGGACCCAAAAAGCUGCAAUUUCAACAGAGAUAUUAAGAGAAAAAAAAAAUAAGGGAACUAAGAUGGCAGUGGCUAAACAAUUUUUGGGUACGUCUCUAUCGGAGAAAUCCCAAUUUAUCAAUUCAUUUAAGGUGGUCUUGGUUGAUCAGAAAUCGGGCCAGUUUUCUUCUUCCCAUCCAACUCAGGUUAAACCUGCUGAAAGAAGAAGCCUGCAAAUAAGGAAAGCAAGGAGGACCAGUACUGGUAGUAGUCCGGUAGCAGCUAUCAGUGAGAAGAAUUUGGUGAAGGUUGUACCAGAAAAGGCAGUACAAUUCAAGGUGAGAGCUGUUGUUACUGUUAGGAACAAGCACAAAGAAGACUUGAAGGAGUCAAUUGUGAAGCAGUUGGAUGCUCUGACUGACAAACUUGGAAGAAAUGUGGUGCUAGAGCUUGUUAGUACAGAAAUUGAUCCUAGUAAGCCAUUAUUUCCUUCUUUUCUUGAACCCAAAUAAAACUUUUUGCUCCAAAGUUUACUGCUUAAGAGUCAACAUUGAUCUUGAGAAUAUGUUUUGAUUUGGCCUUCUAAUUUUUUCCCCCAUCUCUCUCUCUCUCUCUCUCUCUUUCUUUUUGUGGGUCUGGCAUUGAUGAAGAUACAAAAGCUCCAAAGAAAAGCAAGCAAGCGGUGUUAAAGGACUGGUCUAAGAAAUCAAAUCUUAAGACACAGAGAGUAAAUUACACAGCUGAAUUUGUUGUAGACUCCAAUUUUGGGGUGCCAGGGGCGAUCACAGUGGCUAACAAGCACCAACAAGAGUUCUUCUUGGAGAGCAUGACCAUUGAAGGCUUUGCAUGUGGUCCAGUACAUUUCUCUUGCAACUCUUGGGUGCAAUCCAAUAAACAUCAUCCUGGAAAGAGGGUAUUCUUCUCUAAUCAGGUAUAAAGGCGUUUGUUAGUAAUCAUCUUUCUGCGUUCACUAUGAUAUUCUGUUUUCACAAGACGGCAUUAUCACUCUUCCUUCUUCGCUAGUCAAAAUCUUCACCAUACUACUUUUUGGUCUGGUCCAACCUGAAGUCGGCCACUUGGGUUCAUACUUGUUGAAUUGAACCCUUCUUCUGCGAUAAAGAGUUGAAUGAAGGAGCAUUUAUGCAUUCUUCUUUUGGAGCAUGUUUUCCCCUUCUAAAUUCUCUUUCUUGAAGCAAUUAUUCCCCAAAGUUUUUGUUUUUAUUUUUCCAUCUUUUUUUUUUUAAUUGAAAAGAAAGGCCAAACACUUAUAUGGAAAAUAAAAAUGCCAUGUUCUUUCUCUUCCCAAGAAAAGUAGAAAAGGAGAGGAAACCCAUGCUUAAAAAAUUUUGACUUCAGUCUUUCUAUACUCUUCAAACUUACAUUUCUUUUUUCUUUUUUUUUUUUUAACUUGCUGGAUUUUUGCAUGGAGGUGAUAAAAAAGUCUGUCGGCAGAUAUUCCAACCACUUAUUUCGAACUUCAUCCAUCUUCCCUUUGUAAUCGAGAUAGGCAAUUCUUAAGAUAAUGAUCUGGAUGUACCCGGGGGCCUGUUCUUGAUAAAGUAGAAUCCUGACUUGCUUUCCAAUUCUUGCCUUCUUGGUGCUAUUGAUAAUUGAUUUUAAUUCGUCUUACGCUAAUAAGAUAAUAUGAGCAUUAAAAUAUUUUAAUUUUUCUAGACAAGACAAGUACGGAUCAAAUAAAGAAUCAAUCUUAUUAUCUGAUCUUAUUGACAACACUAGUUGUUUUAAGGGCAGCAUGGAAAAUCAUUUGACUAAAGAAAAGUUUUCAACUUUUGAACAGCCAUAUCUGCCUGGUGAAACGCCUGCCGGGUUGAAAGCAUUAAGAGAGAAAGAGCUCAGAGAUUUAAGGGGUAAUGACAAAGGUGUCCGGAAAUUAUCGGAUAGAAUAUAUGAUUUUGAUGUCUAUAAUGAUCUGGGCAAUCCUGACCGAGGAAUUGAAUUUGCUCGGCCAUCACUUGGGGGUGAUAAGAUUCCAUAUCCAAGGAGAUGUCGCACAGGACGUGUUCCAACUGAUACCGGUUAGCAAUACCAAAUCUUUUUUUUUUUUUCCACUUCAUUCAACUAUGUAGUCAGCAACUUCCAAAAGCAGAGACACGCGAAUUAGUUUUUCCCCCCCCCCCCCCAAAAACUUUUGUAUGAUCCAGAUUUGAAUGCGGAGAGCAGAGUGGAGAAGCCACUGCCCAUGUAUGUACCUAGAGAUGAACAGUUUGAGGAGUCUAAGCAAGAUGCAUACUCAACCGGAAGACUUAAGGGAGCACUUCACAACUUGUUGCCAUUGUUAAUGGCCAACAUUUCGGCUAAAAAUCAUGACUUCAAGGGGUUCUUAGACAUUGAUAGCCUCUACACUGAAGGACUACUUUUGAAGCUAGGCGUGCAGGAUGAAUUCUUGAAUAAGCUUCCAUUGCCCAAGGCAGUCAACAAAUUCCGUGACGGCGAUAUUCUCAAAUAUGGCAUUCCCAAAAUCUUAACAAGUAAGCACAUUUACAUUGGUCAGAUAGAUAUUUUAAUUUUGUAAUGUGAUAUCUAAUUAUAUGGUAACAAGCUUUUUUUAUGCAAUUGCAGAGGACAAAUUUGCAUGGUUGCGAGAUGAUGAAUUUGCCCGGCAAUCAAUAGCAGGGGUUAAUCCUGUAAGCAUUGAAAGGCUUCAGGCCUUCCCACCUGUUAGCAAGCUUGACCCUGAAAUCUAUGGCCCCUUGGAUUCAGCUCUCAAAGAUGAGCACAUCCUUGGGAAUCUCAACGGAAUGACAGUGCAAGAGGUAUCAAUCACAAUCACUUUGAAUAUCAGUCACAAUCCUUUAUAUAUAUCAGUCAUGUUCAUAACUCAUCGUGCAUGAUAAAAACAACAGUAGACAAUAGUGCAGCAGGACAACCUGUACGUGCUGUCCUCAUUCAGUUAGCCACUUUGAACUUCCUUGUCUAAUUUUAGUAUUAAAACUCGUGUUGUGUCCAUCCUUCACAGGCUUUGGAGGCGAACAAGCUAUACAUACUGGACCACCACGAUGCCUACUUACCAUUUCUUGACAGGAUUAAUGCCCUUGAUGGCCGUAAAUCAUAUGCAACACGCACCAUAUUUUUCUUGAGUGAUUUAGGCACUCUCAAACCCAUCGCUAUAGAGCUUAGCCUCCCAGCCACUGGCCCAAGUUCUCGUUCAAAGCGUGUCGUAACGCCACCGGUUGAUGCAACCACUAAUUGGAUCUGGCAGCUGGCUAAAGCCCACGUUUGCUCCAAUGAUGCUGGUGUUCACCAACUCAUCAAUCAUUGGUACGUAAAUGAAGUUUAAGAACUCGAACUGAGUUAGUAAUGAAGAUUUGAAACAGGGGAAAAUUGUUAAUCUUGCCGGUGAAUUUGAUAUAGGAAUCUAAGGAACAUUGGUUGAUUGAAUUCAGGUUGCGCACACAUGCGUCAGUGGAACCAUUUAUACUGGCGGCGCACAGGCAAAUGAGCGCAAUGCAUCCAAUAUUUAAGCUUUUGGAUCCCCAUAUGAGAUAUACGAUGGAGAUCAAUGCAUUGGCUCGCCAGGCCUUGAUCAAUGCAGACGGUAUCAUUGAGUCUUGCUUCACGCCUGGUCGUUAUUGCAUGGACAUUAGUGCCGCUGCCUACAAAAAUUUCUGGCGUUUUGAUUUAGAAGGACUCCCAGCUGAUCUCAUCAGGAGGUACCUAAAUUUAAAUAAAUAAAAAAAAAAUCUUUACCUUCAAUUUCCUAGAUGAUUAUUUGCCAGUCUGGUCAUGUGUGAAUAUUUUUGACAAAAUAUGGAGGUUUUACAUGAUUUUUGUGGGGCUUUUUGUUUGUGUAGAGGGAUGGCAGUACCGGAUCCAACGCAAACCCAUGGGCUAAAACUUGUCAUGGAGGACUAUCCGUAUGCUGCGGAUGGGUUACUGAUAUGGGCUGCAAUUGAGAGCUGGGUCCGCAAGUGUGUGAACCAUUAUUAUCCCGACCCAAGCGUCGUGUGCAAUGAUAGGGAGCUUCAAGCCUGGUAUGCGGAGUCCAUUAACGUGGGCCAUGCGGAUCUACGCAAUGCCGACUGGUGGCCCACUUUAGCCACACCUGAAGAUCUCAGCUCAAUUCUGACUACUCUCAUCUGGCUUGCAUCAGCGCAGCAUGCUGCAUUGAAUUUUGGCCAGUACCCUUACGGUGGCUACGUGCCGAACCGGCCGCCGCUCAUGCGGCGACUAAUCCCUAAUGAAAAUGAUCCAGAAUACGCAGUUUUCUUGGCUGAUCCACAAAAGUAUUUCCUCUCUGCCCUGCCGAGUUUGUUACAAGCAACAAAAUACAUGGCCGUGGUAGACACCUUAUCGACUCACUCCGCCGAUGAGGAGUACCUUGGCGAGAGGAAUCAUCCGUCGACGUGGACAGGGGAUGCGGAGGUCAUCGAAGCAUUCUAUGAAUUCUCGGCAGAGAUUGGGAGGAUAGAGAAGGAGAUUGAGGAAAGAAAUGCUGACGCAAGAUUAAGGAAUAGAUGUGGCGCUGGGGUGAUACCAUAUGAGCUUUUAGCACCUACUUCAGGACCUGGGGUAACAUGUCGAGGUGUUCCUAAUAGCGUGUCAAUAUGAGUCCAGGCAAAGU
This 29411-nucleotide long non-coding RNA is filed under the name Coffea arabica (coffee). RNAcentral's name for it is "long non-coding RNA (CARA_LNC003024)". Lineage: Eukaryota; Viridiplantae; Streptophyta; Magnoliopsida; Gentianales; Rubiaceae. The record is from RNAcentral.